This 73-nucleotide transfer RNA is filed under the name Corynebacterium sp. Its description in RNAcentral is "tRNA-Trp". It matches the Rfam family "tRNA". From Rfam's summary of the family: Transfer RNA (tRNA) molecules are approximately 80 nucleotides in length. Their secondary structure includes four short double-helical elements and three loops (D, anti-codon, and T loops). RNAcentral also lists the same sequence under 8 other names. Lineage: Bacteria; Bacillati; Actinomycetota; Actinomycetes; Mycobacteriales; Corynebacteriaceae. The record is from RNAcentral.
AGGGGUGUAGCUCAAUUGGUAGAGCAACGGUCUCCAAAACCGUAGGUUGCGGGUUCAAGUCCUGUCACCCCUG